Salmo salar (Atlantic salmon) is the source of this 54-nucleotide non-coding RNA. The record is from Rfam. NCBI's taxonomy places the organism in Eukaryota, Metazoa, Chordata, Actinopteri, Salmoniformes, Salmonidae.
UGCAUUCCCUAUUGUAAGUCGCUCUGGAUAAGAGCGUCUGCUAAAUGACUAAAA